This 137-nucleotide ribosomal RNA is filed under the name uncultured bacterium. RNAcentral's name for it is "partial 16S ribosomal RNA". It matches the Rfam family "Bacterial small subunit ribosomal RNA", at positions 355 to 509 of the family's 1533-position model. The record is from RNAcentral.
UGGGGAAUAUUGCACAAUGGGGGAAACCCUGAUGCAGCGACGCCGCGUGAGUGAAGAAGUAUUUCGGUAUGUAAAGCUCUAUCAGCAGGGAAGAUGAUGACGGUACCUGAGUAAGAAGCCCCGGCUAACUACGUGCC